This 1707-nucleotide ribosomal RNA is filed under the name metagenome. RNAcentral's name for it is "bacterial LSU rRNA". It matches the Rfam family "Bacterial large subunit ribosomal RNA", at positions 1185 to 2925 of the family's 2925-position model. The record is from RNAcentral.
AACGUACCACCGAAACUAAGGGAUCCGCAAGGAUCGGUAGAGGAGCAUUGCAUGCGGAAUGAAGCAGUACCGUAAGGAGCUGUGGACUGCAUGGAAGAGAGAAUGCCGGAAUGAGUAGCGAGAUAAAGGUGAGAAUCCUUUAGGCCGAAUAUCCAAGGUUUCCAGGGUAAAGCUGAUCUGCCCUGGGUAAGUCGGGGCCUAAGGCGAGGACGAGAGUCGUAGCCGAUGGACAACAGGUGGAGAUUCCUGUACUGCGGUAUGACAGAACUGUGGGGACACGUAAGGAAAGCGGAAGCCGGGAAUGGAAAGCCCGGUGCAAGCAGGGUACCAGUCGCUUAGGCAAAUCCGGGCGGCAAUGGGAAGCUGUGAUGCGGAGCGAAAUACAAGUAGCGAAGUCCGUGAGCCAUGCGUCAAGAAAAGCCGCUAUUGUUUAUACCGUACCCGUACCGUAAACCGACACAGGUGGAUGAGGAGAGAAUCCUAAGGCCGGCGGAAGAAGCAUUGUCAAGGAACUCGGCAAAAUGACCCCGUAACUUCGGGAGAAGGGGUGCCACUGAGAAGUGGCCGCAGAGAAUAGGCUCAAGCAACUGUUUAGCAAAAACACAGGUCUAUGCGAAACCGAAAGGUGAGGUAUAUGGGCUGACGCCUGCCCGGUGCUGGAAGGUUAAGAGGAGAGGUUAGCGCAAGCGAAGCUUUGAAUUUAAGCCCCAGUAAACGGCGGCCGUAACAAUAACGGUCCUAAGGUAGCGAAAUUCCUUGUCGGGUAAGUUCCGACCCGCACGAAAGGCGUAAUGAUUUGAGCGCUGUCUCGACAAUGCAUCCGGUGAAAUUGAAGUACCAGUGAAGAUGCUGGUUACCUGCGCCAGGACGGAAAGACCCCAUGGAGCUUUACUCCAGUUUGGUACUGGGGUCCGGUAUUGCAUGUACAGGAUAGGUGGGAGGCUAGGAAGCAGCAACGCCAGUUGCUGCGGAGCCGCUGUUGGGAUACCACCCUUGCAGUACUGGGCUUCUAACCAGCCGCCGUGAACCGGCGGUGGGACAAUGCCAGACGGGGAGUUUGACUGGGGCGGUCGCCUCCGAGAGGGUAUCGGAGGCGCCCAAAGGUUCCCUCAGAAUGGACGGAAACCAUUCGAAGAGUGCAAAGGCAGAAGGGAGCUUGACUGCGACACCGACGGGUGGAGCAGGUACGAAAGUAGGGCUUAGUGAUCCGGUGGUAUUAAGUGGGAAUGCCAUCGUUCAACGGAUAAAAGCUACCCUGGAUAACAGGCUUAUCACUCCCAAGAGUUCACAUCGACGGAGUGGUUUGGCACCUCGAUGUCGGCUCAUCGCAUCCUGGGGCUGUAGUAGGUCCCAAGGGUUGGGCUGUUCGCCCAUUAAAGCGGUACGCGAGCUGGGUUCAGAACGUCGUGAGACAGUUCGGUCCCUAUCCGGCGUGGGCGUAGGAUAUCUGAGAGGAGCUGUCCUUAGUACGAGAGGACCGGGAUGGACGGACCGCUGGUGUACCGGUUAGACUGCCAAGUCUACGGCCGGGUAGCCAAGUCCGGAAGGGAUAAACGCUGAAGGCAUCUAAGCGUGAAGCCCCCCUCAAGAUGAGAUGUCCCAUUCGAAAGAAGUAAACCCCCUUGAAGACGACGAGGUAGAUAGGGCAGGGGUGGAAGUGUGGUAACACACGGAGCUGACUGUUACUAAUAGGGUGAGGGCUUGACC